RNAcentral lists this ribosomal RNA (253 nucleotides) under uncultured bacterium. RNAcentral describes it as "partial 16S ribosomal RNA". It matches the Rfam family "Bacterial small subunit ribosomal RNA", at positions 524 to 776 of the family's 1533-position model. The record is from RNAcentral.
UACGUAGGGGCCUAGCGUUGUCCGGAUUUACUGGGCGUAAAGCGCGUGUAGGCGGCAUGGCAAGUCGGGUGUGAAAGCCCUCAGCUUAACUGAGGAAGUGCGCCCGAAACUGCCGUGCUUGAGUGCCGGAGAGGGUGGCGGAAUUCCCCAAGUAGAGGUGAAAUUCGUAGAUAUGGGGAGGAACACCGGUGGCGAAGGCGGCCACCUGGAUGGUAACUGACGCUGAGACGCGAAAGCGUGGGGAGCAAACAGG